Molecule: long non-coding RNA, 1402 nt
Filed under: Musa acuminata (dwarf banana)
Lineage: Eukaryota; Viridiplantae; Streptophyta; Magnoliopsida; Zingiberales; Musaceae
Description: long non-coding RNA (MACU_LNC005571)
Source: RNAcentral
AGGAAGGUGCGUAAGCCAUGGGCGACGCCAGAACGAGUUGCCUUCAAAAGUACAUAAGGCAAAGCAUAACUUUUGUUCGUAAACAGGGAGUAAUAAAAGGAGCAAGUGGGUUGCUGCCGGUGGAUUAAUUCAAAUAGCGGCUGAUACAGUAGAAUAAGCACGUUGUGCUACCCCCACCACAAAGCACGUUGUGGCAGCUCUUGCCGAGCAUUUAAGCUCGAGUCUGCCUCAACAGCGGGGCGGUCAUCAACAAAAAGGAAGAAGCAUGUGCAAGGCGCGGGACUGCAGGUGGGAGGCCACCUUCCGGUCGGUGCAGAAGAAGAGCGCCGGGAAGCUGCAGGACGAGGCGAGAGAGGCACAGCGGUCCCCCGACGGCGCGCCAGGUAAUGCGGGAGCCGCCUCGUUUGGCGGGGAGAGGAAGAGGAAGGGCACGGUGGUUGUGAGGGAGAAGGAGAGGGCGGAGAUGGCGAUGCAGUUGAUCCUCUGGGGGCCCAACUAGCAGUGUAUUUGCCGGUUAAUAUGCUUCCUUGUUCCCUCGACCUAUCAUAAUUCUUUGUUUUGGUUCGCCAUCACAAAUGAUUUCUUGGGUGCUCAUUUGACAAACCAUUUGAUUUGAUUUGAUUCGAGGCUUGUGUGAAGUUUUUUUUUUAUUUAAAGAAAAAAAGGAAUUAAAAGCUUUAAUAAUGAAGUCGAAAGAAAUAAUCCAUACUUUUUUUUUCUAUAAUUUUUAAAAGGAUUUAUGAUUGAUGUUCGUUCCCUUUUCUCGUAUCAAUGUUAAUGAUGGAAGAACCUUAAUUGUGUCUUUCUCUAAUAAUAAAAUUUUGAAAUAUCUUAAAUUCUUAGAUAGGAAAAGAGUUUUGGCCCAAAUUGAUAAAUCAUUUUCGACCCAUAUCACUUUAUAAUAAUAAUUAUAGGAUCUUGGCUAAUAUCCUUAUAAACUGUAUCAAGGCUCACCUUUAUAAUCUCAUUUCUGUUGAACAAUCCGUGUUCAUUAAGGGUAAAAGUAUUUACGAUAAUAAGUUCUCUACUCACUUGAUAACUCUAAAGGUAAAUAUCAUUUUAUUAUGAGCAAAUUGGAUUGAAAAUGCUUGUAUUUCUUAAAAUAAUAUUAAACAAAUAGUACACACAUUUUUUUUAUCAAAUCUUUAAAUGCAUAUCAUGUCCUUGUCCUAAGUUUAAACAUGUAAAUGUUUCAUCCGACCCACAUAAACAAGAGUUUAAAGAAUAUUUUAUAAAAUAUUUUAUCUUUAUGAAAUAGGGGGGCGUCUGAUCUUUUUUGACCACUCGCGUUUAUACUCGAAGACUUAAGAUUACUAACUUAAGUGUUAGAUGGACUAGGUCGGGAAUCCUUUCUCAACCUCGAUCAUUGUGUAGGUGAUACCUCGAGAGUUCAACGUUUUCA